GAUGAACGCUAGCUACAGGCUUAACAUAUGUAAGUCGAGGGGAAACGACAUCGAAAGCUUGCUUUUGAUGGGCGUCGACCGGCGCACGGGUGAGUAACGCGUAUCCAACCUGCCCAUCACUUGGGAAUAACCUUGCGAAAGUAAGACUAAUACCCAAUGACAUCCCACGAAGACAUCUGAAUGGGAUUAAAGAUUUAUCGGUGAUGGAUGGGGAUGCGUCUGAUUAGCUUGUUGGCGGGGUAACGGCCCACCAAGGCAACGAUCAGUAGGGGUUCUGAGAGGAAGGUCCCCCACAUUGGAACUGAGACACGGUCCAAACUCCUACGGGUGGCAGCAGUGGGGAAUAUUCGUAAAUAGGCGAGGGCCUGAACCAGCCAAAUAGCGACAAGGAAGACGGAAGUAUGGGUUGUAAACUGCAUUUAUACGAGAAUAAAGUGGGUAUCGUGAGACUUUUUGCAUGUACCUUAUGAAUAAGGACCGGCUAAUUCCGUG
RNAcentral lists this ribosomal RNA (492 nucleotides) under uncultured bacterium. Its description in RNAcentral is "partial 16S ribosomal RNA". It matches the Rfam family "Bacterial small subunit ribosomal RNA", at positions 28 to 507 of the family's 1533-position model. The record is from RNAcentral.